Pezoporus flaviventris is the source of this 1807-nucleotide long non-coding RNA. RefSeq lists it as uncharacterized. The record is from RefSeq and is a predicted model, not a curated record. NCBI's taxonomy places the organism in Eukaryota, Metazoa, Chordata, Aves, Psittaciformes, Psittacidae. The transcript is spliced from 3 exons.
CAGGUGUAUUAGGAAGGAGAACACGACACAGCAGGCCAUGGGUACACCACAAGCUUUUCACAAAGUGAAGUCUCAGCUUCCCCAUCCACCUGUUUUUACAGGUCAGUAGUUCACCAAGUCCAGACUUUUCAAGCUUUCCCAUUAAAUAAGCACAUCCCAAAAGUCACACAUUGAGAUAGAAAGGGACAGAUUAGGGAAGGAGUUUUCAGAGUGCUCUCAAGCAGGAGAAAAGGGGAAGGUUUCAUCCUUCAAAACCUAUGGAUGAGUAACACUGAGGAUCCCUCACGAAAUUACCUUCUCCAGUCAUAUUUGGGAAGAAUGAGCUUUGAGGUACUUCUUUAGGAUGGGUGUUACUGUCUGUACAGGAAAAGAGUGUGCUCUAGGAGAAAUAGAGCAUAACAUCGGUGAAGAGUGAACAACUUGAGAUAAAAUAUUUAAGAGAGUGGGCAUUGAAUCACAAGAUUGGAGAUCAACCUAUUUCCACCAGCAUGUCUCGUGUAAUUUUGUAAUGCCAGACUAAGGCAAAGAAGUCAGUGCUACACAGGAAGAGACCAGCUUGAAACUGUAACUGUUAUUUCAGCCAGCCAAUACUUAAAUUGAGUUUUUCCACACAUUCUUUAUAUAAUUGCACAGUCAAGUGUCUUCCUUACCACUGCAGGCUAUUGGGGAAACUCUUGUGGCAAAUUAAUAUUAUUGGCCAUCUUAGGAUCUAUAGUGAGACAGCAGCAUUUCAACCCCAGUUUCUGGAUCCUGCUGACACACUACUUAUUGUGGAUUGGAUACAAGGUCCAAAGCAGAAGGUUUGGCUCCAAGAAGAAAAGAAAAAGACAAAAGUCAAUUUUCUGUGUAACUUAUCAGCCUAGGAGAGAAGUGCGCCUACCUUUUGAUUUCCUGAGGAAGCAAUAGUUAAAAUAUAUACUUGCUAUUUAGGCAUUAAGAAUCUUUGCCUAAUUUUAAGUCUUGAUUUUUCCCCCACAACAUUCCCCUGUAAUUACAACCUGGUUAAAAAGGAGUUUAUCUGAGUUCAGAAUGUUGUCAUAAAUGGUAAAAAAUGUGUUUUAUUCUCUCAUUAUCUCAUAUGAGAAUUAAGAAGUAGGCUUAUUUACAAGGGUGAUAGAAAGUAGAAAUUCAUUCUACAAUAAUAUUUGUUAGCCUGGUUUCACUGUAAGGUAGAUAAUCUUCUUAUAAAUCCUGUCAGGAGGUUGUGCUAGAUUUGCUUUUAAUUACAGUCGAGUGGCUUUCAGCAACUGCAGGACUCCACAGAACAUGUUGCCACCAUGUUAGCACCUGGUGACAGCUUACCUACUAUUUGCACAGCUUUUAAACAAACUUCUAAACAAGAGCCAGAUCCUUCCACAGACUACACUCCCUCUCUAGCAGGGAAGUCACAUCAGAUUCAGCCUUGCAUGCUAAGGGAUUGCUAUGAAAUUACUCUGUGAGGUUCAGUCCUGUGUAUUAUCCCUACUCUCAACUCAAAUACAACCUUUAGAAAAAGCAACUAACAGGCUCUCUAGAGUUUCAAUACAGCUCAGGCACAGAUUUAGCAUCAGGAAGGUUACAUGGUAGGAGACCACCUCUCUCUGCUGUGCUGGCAGGAUCAUUGCACACAGCACAUGAUGCAGCCUCAGCUGCAUGUCAGGCUGCUCCCCGCACCACCUUUAUCACAGCCCUGGUACCAAACACGCUCCUGGAUCCACCUGCCCUUUCGGGAUACACCCUGCCCAGCAGCUUGUGGGACAGGCCAAAUCAUUCCCUCUCUCUCAGCUUGGGAGAGUAUAGUUCUUGCCCUCAAAAGCUGAGAAAGAGG